CAAAAACUGCUUUAUGAUAAACCAUCCAAUCUUUGAUGUCACAGAGGAGUUUAUGAUAUGAAUGCUUAUAUAUCUUGCAGGAGCACACUCCUAUUGAAAAACAAAAAUCUUCCUUGGAGAAAAACGACAUUCAAUUCCCCAGGUGAUCCGCCACAGAAUUGAGGUGAAAGUAGAAGUCCAACAUCCUUGAGGAUCUGACAACCAUUCUACUAUGAAAUACAUAGAGAAGACGACAACAACAAACACUUAUGAUAUAUUCUUGUGUUCAUGAAACUUCAUGCAUCGCAACAUCCAUAGAGAAGGAAGGAAAUAAAAGGUCCGAAAUGGUUUUUGUAUUCGCUCCCUUGAAGCAGUGACAACCCCCUUCCGUGUUUAUCAAAACAUUCAAUGACUUAGCACUAAGAUAAGACUUGACUAGGUGGAACUUGAUCUAGGUUUUGACAUGUUUAGAGGUUCAGAAUACUUUAAGGACGGUUUCGCUGUGUAGGAAGGCUGUACUCUCUCCAAUGAAUAAAUGAAUAAAUGUGUAUAUGGAAUGGUUUGGUAUGAAAAUGUAUUAUCUAUGUAGCCAAAAAAACGUUGCUAAUUGCACAGCAAAAUGGCAACGACUGAAAGUCCUGGACCCUACCAACCGAACUGUUGAUCGCAAUAAGCAAAGUAUUUUCCACGUUUUCGUAUACAAAAGGCAAGACCUGGGCAAUACCCGAAUGAUAACAUUAAGAGCGAUCGCAAUAAGCGGCGUCUACUGUAUAUAUGAAAAG
Molecule: long non-coding RNA, 761 nt
Organism: Stegodyphus dumicola
Lineage: Eukaryota; Metazoa; Arthropoda; Arachnida; Araneae; Eresidae
Source: RefSeq, a predicted model, not a curated record